Molecule: ribosomal RNA, 1650 nt
Filed under: Triticum aestivum (bread wheat)
Lineage: Eukaryota; Viridiplantae; Streptophyta; Magnoliopsida; Poales; Poaceae
Description: partial small subunit ribosomal RNA
Source: RNAcentral
AUGAAAAUAGACCUAUCUUCUCUUUCUUGGGCGGGGCACCAAAUUCAUGUAUCUUUACCAAUUAACCAAUUUCUUGAUGCUGGGGUGGAUCCUAAAGAGAUACCACUUCCUCAUGAAUUUAUCUUGAAUCGGGACCUUUUGGCUCAACUUUAUCCUAGUUUUGCCGAAGGAGCAACCCCUUUUACUUUAAAUUGGUCCAAAUACGCAGAAUUUCUGACUUUUUGUGGAGGACUAGAUCCAAUAACCGGUGGUCUCUGGCUGACCGAUAUUGCGCACCAUCAUUUAGCUAUUGCUAUUCUUUUCCUAAUCGCAUGUCAUAUGUAUAGGACCAAUUGGGGUAUUGGCCAUGGACUUAAAGAUAUUUUGGAGGCUCACAAGGGCCCAUUUAUAGGACAAGGCCAUAAUGGUCUUUAUGAAAUCUUAACAACGUCAUGGCAUGCUCAAUUAUCUCUUAACCUAGCUAUGCUAGGCUCUACAACCAAUGUUGUAGCUCAUCAUAUGUAUUCUAUGCCUCCCUAUCCAUACCUAGCUACUGACUAUGGUACACAACUUUCCUUGUUCACACACCACAUGUGGAUUGGCGGAUUUCUAAUAGUCGGUGCUACUACACAUGAUACAAUUUUUAUGGUAAGAGACUAUGAUCCGACUACUCAAUACAACGAUCUAUUAGAUCGCGUCCUUCGACACCGCGAUGCAAUCAUAUCCCACCUUAACUGGGUAUGUAUAUUUCUAGGUUUUCACAGUUUUGGCUUGUACAUUCAUAAUGAUACCAUGAGUGCUUUAGGCCGUCCACAAGAUAUGUUUUCGGAUACUGCCAUACAAUUACAACCUAUCUUUGCUCAAUGGGUACAAAAUAUCCAUGCUACUGCGCCUGGCGUCACAGCUCCUGGUGCAACAACAAGUACUAGCUUAACGUGGGGAGGCAGCGAGUUAGUAGCACUAGGUGACAAAGUGGCUUUGUUACCUAUUCCAUUAGGAACCGCAGAUUUUUUAGUCCAUCACAUUCUUGCAUUUACCAUACAUGUGACUGUAUUAAUACUUUUGAAAGGUGUUUUAUUUGCUCGGAGUUCCCGUUCGAUACCCAAUAAAGCAAAUCUAGGUUUUCGCUUUCCUUGCGAUGGGCCUGGCCGAGGGGGAACAUGUCAAGUGUCCGCCUGGGAUCAUGUUUUCUUAGGUUUAUUCUGGAUGUACUAUGCAAUUUCGGUAGUCAUUUUCCAUUUCAGUUGGAAAAUGCAGUCGGAUGUUUGGGGUAUUAUAAGUGAUCAAGGGCUGGUAACUCAUAUUACAGGGGGAAACUUUGCACAGAGUUCCAUUAAUGUUUGGGGUACUAUAAGUGAUCAAGGGGUGGGCACAGCAUCGCAAGUCAUUCAGUCUUAUGGUUCUUCAUUAUCUGCAUAUGGUCUUUUUUUCUUAGGUGCUAAUUUUGUCUGGGCCUUCAGUUUAAUGUUUUUAUUCAGUGGCCGUGGUUAUUGGCAAGAACUCAUUGAAUUUAUCAUUUGGGCUCAUAACAAAUUCAAAGUUGCUCCUGCUACUCAGCCUAGAGCCUUGAGCAUUAUACAAGGACGUGCUGUAGGAGUAACCCAUUACCUUCUGGGUGGAAUUGCCAUGACAUGGGCAUUCUUCUUAGUGAGAAUUAUUGCAGUAGGAUAG